GACGUAGGGUGCGAGCGUUAUCCGGAUUCACUGGGUUUAAAGGGUGCGUAGGAGGGCAGGUAAGUCAGUGGUGAAAUCCCCGAGCUUAACUUGGGAACUGCCGUUGAUACUAUCUGUCUUGAAUGUUGUGGAGGUGAGCGGAAUAUGUCAUGUAGCGGUGAAAUGCUUAGACAUGACAUAGAACACCAAUUGCGAAGGCAGCUCGCUACACAAUUAUUGACUCUGAUGCACGAAAGCGUGGGGAUCAAACAGG
Molecule: ribosomal RNA, 253 nt
Filed under: uncultured bacterium
Lineage: Bacteria
Description: partial 16S ribosomal RNA
Rfam family: Bacterial small subunit ribosomal RNA
Source: RNAcentral